CUAGCCCUCUGCCACCCCUCCUGGCUCCAUCAGCCCCCGUCUCCCCUGGAAGGAUGGGGCUGCAUGGCCUGCCUUCCCCGCACUCCCUCACUUCCCUCUGGAUCCCAGCAACAAGUUUAAUUGGAAAAAACCAAGGCUGACUUGGAGGCAAGGCAAGGAGGCAGGGAGAGCCUGUACCAACUGACACUAUGAUCGAUUACCUGGAACUUCACCUGACACUGAAAUUAGGGUUUUUUAAUGAUAGGCUGACUCUCCCUGGAUGUGAAAUUCAAAUGAUCUCCAAAGCUUCCCUGCGACCAUCGCUUGCUGAAUGCAGUGGUACACGCCACAUGCAGGAGCUCAGUAAGAGCUCGGAUGAGAGCGAGGCCUGGGUUGUGCCAGAGCCUACAUGAGGAAGAACAGACCCAGCGCCAAAGUGCUUGUGAUCUUCAGAGAGGCGGCACGCUACCUUCCGUUCCCAACCGCAGCUGAAUUCCUGAUGCAGGGAGACUUUACAAGACCCUCGAGAGAUGCUGAAGGCUGACCCUUUCUGUCAUUGGGAGCAAGAAACUUUCUGGUUACCUCAGAGCAAAAGGACAAAGCUUUAUAUCAUACAUUCAAUAAAACAAAACACACACCAAAAAAAAAAAAAAAA
Molecule: long non-coding RNA, 634 nt
Filed under: Struthio camelus australis
Lineage: Eukaryota; Metazoa; Chordata; Aves; Struthioniformes; Struthionidae
Description: lncRNA (ENSSCUG00000006491.1)
Source: RNAcentral